GUUCUGGCAACUGUGCGUGGCGACGACCUCUUCACGCUACUUGUUGAGCGCCGCAACCAGUCACUGGGCAGACGUCACACCGACAACAUCUCUGUCCAGCUCGCUUCCACCGUUAACUCGGCCGUCACCACCUACUCCUCCGCGCUAUCUUCAAGGAAUAAACAUUGCCAUGUGAAAAUAUAACGAACAAAAAUGAAAUAAAAAAAAGAAAGAAAAGAAAAAAACACCGACAGACAGUGCACGGGAAAACAUAAAACCAAAAACAAAAUAUAUAAAAGAGAGAGAGAAAAAAACAAUUAGAAAUAUAAAUAAAAGAAAUUAAAAUAAAGAUAAGGUGAUGUGAUAAGAGAACACCGAACCAAGACAAAGAGAAGAAAUUAACAAACGGACCAAUCACAGGCGAGGAACCUGCCCUUCCCAAGACCGUUAACAUGCGCUGUUACACGAGCGUGAUGGGCGCUAGAAGACACGUUUCGGUGUGGGCGUGGGUGGUGCCUGUCCUGCUGGCGACGCAUGGUGAGUACUGAUAUCUAUGAAUUACAUAUGAAUUACAAAACACUCUAUUGAUGAUAUGGCGAAAAAAAGAAAGAAAAGAAGAAGAAGAAGAAGAA
Molecule: long non-coding RNA, 611 nt
Filed under: Penaeus japonicus
Lineage: Eukaryota; Metazoa; Arthropoda; Malacostraca; Decapoda; Penaeidae
Description: uncharacterized LOC122263471
Source: RNAcentral